GGGCCGGGACGACCCGCCCCUUUUCCCCUCACCUCCGGGACGGCCCGG
Molecule: non-coding RNA, 48 nt
Filed under: Paramagnetospirillum magneticum
Lineage: Bacteria; Pseudomonadati; Pseudomonadota; Alphaproteobacteria; Rhodospirillales; Magnetospirillaceae
Also listed under: 1 other name
Description: Magnetospirillum magneticum Guanidine-II sequence
Rfam family: Guanidine-II riboswitch aptamer (mini-ykkC)
About the family: Simpler in structure and has fewer highly conserved nucleotide positions than the ykkC-yxkD leader. Despite this each of its two stem-loop structures directly bind free guanidine.
Source: RNAcentral